This is a long non-coding RNA of Sceloporus undulatus (fence lizard), 340 nucleotides long. RefSeq lists it as uncharacterized. The record is from RefSeq and is a predicted model, not a curated record. Lineage: Eukaryota; Metazoa; Chordata; Lepidosauria; Squamata; Phrynosomatidae. The transcript is spliced from 3 exons.
CUAGAUGGUCCCACUCAGCAGAAAGCAGGCAGACAAUCAGGCAGAAGCCUUGGAAAAGAGAGGCAAGAGGCAUGGAUGAUGAGACCCAUUUUGAGAUGCCAGGAAAGAACUGCAUUGUACUAUGAAGAGUGAACUUACUUAAUAUUGAACUCUUGCUGCGGAAGAACCAUAGAAGUGCCAGAAGAAUUUAGCAACAUAUGCCCAAAUGUGUGGUAAAAUACUUAGGCCUAUGUUCUCUCCAGAUCUCAGAAUGAGGUUACAAGGCAGGAAUAUCCAGUUUAGACUAGAAUGCACUCUCUGAGGAUUACAGAUGUUUGUUAAUGGCUUCUCCAGAUUUUGA